Long non-coding RNA from Alexandromys fortis (reed vole), 3109 nucleotides. RefSeq lists it as uncharacterized. The record is from RefSeq and is a predicted model, not a curated record. The transcript is spliced from 3 exons. Lineage: Eukaryota; Metazoa; Chordata; Mammalia; Rodentia; Cricetidae.
CUGGAGAGAAGGGAAGUGAGGCAGACGUUAUGCCUCUCCUCUCUAGGACAGAGGCGAAGAAGCUAUGACCCAAGAUGGACAUAGGCUAGAAUCUUCCUGACCAUUGCUCAUUUGGAGAGCUGCUUGCCUCACUGAAAACUCUCUGCGGUCCCCUCUGACAACUUCACCAAAGGCUUAACAGCAAUGGGCCCUAGGAUUAUAAAUUUGACUGCCUAAAAUCUCAUGUGAUCAUGACCCUAUAUAUGAUGGAGAAAUAGAAACCUCGUCUGGAUUACUACCUUGUAUGGAGUCCACCUGUUUUAGUUGCUGAAUCAAUUUAUUAUUGGUGACCACUGCCUAUGACAUUACAGGAAGAGUUUCAGAAAAGAUCCUAGGUUUUAUGGAUAUUCUUUGUGUACUCUGCCUGUUUUGUGUGAAAUUAUGCAUCCAGAUUGCACAUUAAUUUUUCAGAUUCCUGUGUUCUACUGAAACAAUAGCUCAAAAGGUCACAAAGUGGGGUUAAUUAUCAGUAGAGUCCAUCUCUCGUAGCUCCUUUGUUGUGACUUCUUAUUCCUUGAGACAGAAGCUGAGUGAACCAGCACUCUCAGUUGAGAAAAUAAAUAAAAUCAAACUAAAGGGAAAAAUAAAUAAAUUCUAGGUGUGUAAUCCCUUGCAGUACAUGUCAAAACAUUUCUUGCCACAUUCAUCUGGAUUUAUAAGUCUUGGUUGUCAACAAGUAAAACACAAAAUAUAUUUAUUUUUGAUGACAAAAAAAAUGACAUUUUGUACCAAAAUACUAACAUGAGAAACUCUAUGAAAGAUGAGGGAAGACUAACUGGAGCAGAAUCUUUCUAAUAAUGGUGAUGGCUGAGACUAAUUUAUUUUUGAAGAAGCUUUGGUGUGUGUUGUAUCGUGUGUAUUUGUGUUUAUGUGCAUAUGACAAGGAAAUCAUUAAAUAGCGUUUAUAACCUUUUCUGUGCUAAGUAAAUAUGAAUUAGCACCUCCGAUGUUACUGAAAAGAUUUACAGAUGAUAACUAAGUGGCUGUCUUAUCAAAGCUGUAUACAAACACACACGGUCACAGAGACAUCUCUCACCAAAUUUGAGUAGUUUUACAUAACAAUUUUAAGAUUCUAUUUUCUUUUUGAUAUUGGAAUAAUAUAUUAUUAUUGCUUACUGACAUCUAUCAGUUAAGGAGACAUUAGAGACUGUAUUAUGACCAUAGAUGGACAAAUUUAUAAGAUGCUUCUGUAAAAGGAAAGUUCAAGAUGCCUUGAGAGUAUAAGAAAUUUAAAAAUAUUUAUGUUUGAAAUUAAUGUCUAAGAAAUAUGCAAUAUUAAAAUGUACCAGUAACAUUCUGUAGAUAGAGUAACUGUUUUCAGAUAUGAAUUCACCACCAAUAAUGAUUUUAUUUUCAAUAAAGAAGGGCAUAAGAAUAUUUGCAAAGAGUUCAAUACUAUAUCAUCCAAUAUACCUCUGACCUCCAUUUUAUUUCCUCCUCCUUAAUUAUCACCUUCCCAUAUUCAUUAGUUCAUUUAUUUUUCCCAUUGAGACUCACUAGAUUUAUCCAGAAAUGUCUACGCAACCACAAGAAAGGAAAUAUUAGCUCCUCACUGGGUAGGAAAUUGAAAAUAAUGUUGCUCUUUCAGGAUACAUCAGUAGUUAAUAAUUCAGGAAUAAGAAAUAACAUUUGAAGCUCCUUGCUAAUUCAUGAUGGAAUGUUGAUAAGCUCAGUUUUGUGUAGCCCAUUGCAGUAAAUAAUAACUGUUGUGAGGUCAAGACUGCAUUAGUAAUGACACGUUCAAAAGAGAGUAUGUCACAGUCCUUUUGUCUAGUUUCGACACCUUGCACUCUGUUCUAGUCUCUCUUGAAGAACCUGAAUGUCAGUGGUAUAAACAUUCUGAAUAGUUCUGAGAACUCAGGGGUCAGCUAUUCUCAGCACUUUAAGCAGACAAGUUAAACUUUAACAUCAAUACUUUGAACCAAUGUAUAGGGGUUAUUGCUCCAUUUAUUUGUCUCUAUUUUUAUUUCUUUCACUAUCACUAAAGUUUUCUUCCCCAUGACUCACCACCACAAGCUAAUGGAUCCAAGUUCAGAACUCAGGGUAUUUAUGACAUUUACUGAUUAUAUAAUAAAUGUUUUAUGAAUGGGUUUCUGAUCUUUGAUAGAACAGUGACAGCUACAAUAGGAAGAUGAAUCUAAAAAAUCCUGGAGGUUGAUGCAUGAUAAAAUGUGAAGGUGGAGUUAAACAAAGGGGGAAAAGAAAAGAAAAACACUGGAAAGACAGACCAGUGUUGGUUAUGAUCCCACAUUGCAGAGGCUAGCCACUGUUAUUACCUUACCUUACAGAUACAUUUGUUAUCUAACUUCUUUCUGUGCUGUUCUAACAAGACAGUGGCAGUCUUGCUCUUCUACAAAAAGAGAUUCUAGUCUUAGAUUUUAAGUCUCUAAUUCACCAUAUCUUGUGCUUGAUCAUGUUUCAGCUCAGCUGUUCCUUCUGUAGUUAACUUUUUCUACCUGGGCACAUCCAAGCCACUUCAGCUGAAUUUCUAAAUAAAUGAAUGAACAUUAAAAUAAUUAACAUUACAUUGUAUUAUUCCUUUGACUGACCUUUAGUGGCCUUCAUUCCCUUUACUAGCCUUUGAAAAUCAUUUAUAUCUACAAAUAUUCUCGCUUCUAAUACCUACUAAAUGACCUUCAUUCUAAAUUCUUACUUAUAUGAAAGCGCAGUGGCAGCUUCCGUGUGAAAAUCUUCUUAUUUUAUGCAACAGUGAAUCAUUUUAAGCCAUAUAUUUUCUCAUUAUUCUAUAUAGGUUGUCUGAUGAUAAACAUUUGUGCUGGCUAAUCUUAUGUCAAGGUAGGGUCACCUGAAAGGAGGGAAGCUAAAUGGAGAAAAAUGACUCUAUUGGAUUCAGUUGUCAGGCAUUUUCUUAAUUACUGAUUGAUGGGGCAGGGCCAAGCCCAUUGUAGGUGGUACAAUGCCUUUCCUGGUGGUCCUGGGCUCUAUGAGAAAGAAGAAUGAGCAAGUGGUGGGAAGAAAGCCGGUGAGCAGCACCCUUCUAAAGCCUCCUUCUCAGCUUGUGCUCUGGGUUCCUGCCCUGUUUGAAUUCCUUUUCUGACUUACUUUGAUG